This 439-nucleotide ribosomal RNA is filed under the name uncultured bacterium. RNAcentral describes it as "partial 16S ribosomal RNA". It matches the Rfam family "Bacterial small subunit ribosomal RNA", at positions 339 to 795 of the family's 1533-position model. The record is from RNAcentral.
CUACGGGGGGCAGCAGUGAGGAAUAUUGCACAAUGGAGGAAACUCUGAUGCAGCAACGCCGCGUGGAGGAUGACGCAUUUCGGUGUGUAAACUCCUUUUAUAUGUCAAGAAAAUGACGGUAGCAUAUGAAUAAGCUCCGGCUAACUCCGUGCCAGCAGCCGCGGUAAUACGGAGGGAGCAAGCGUUACUCGGAAUCACUGGGCGUAAAGGACGCGUAGGCGGGAUAGAAAGUCGGGUGUGAAAUCCUAUGGCUCAACCAUAGAACUGCACUUGAAACUUCUAACCUAGAAUAUGGGAGGGGAAGAUGGAAUUAGUGGUGUAGGGGUAAAAUCCGUAGAUAUCACUAGGAAUACCAAAAGCGAAGGCGAUCUUCUGGAACAAUACUGACGCUAAGGCGUGAAAGCGUGGGGAGCAAACAGGAUUAGAUACCCUAGUAGUC